UAAGUGUUGCAUUAUAUAGUUUUCAUUGACAUUGUCUCCAAUAUUUUCUUCUUAGUAGAAAGUAUUAUAAUGACAAUGAUGAUCACUUUUUAAAAAUCCAAUAUUGUUAGCUUAUAGGCUGUUCUAAGGAAAUUUUGUGGUGUUCAAAGGUACCUAAAAGAUUCCAGUGAGAAAAUCAGAAGUUAAAAUGGAUCUUCAAUGUCUUACUAGUUUAAUUUCUCUGGAGUACUGAAAAUUAUUGGAAAAAGUCUAUAAAGCCUAAAUUUUAUUCUUUUCAAGUGGUAUUUAAGAUGCCACAGUGGUUAUCUCAGCUAGCUGUGUCCUAAAGGAAAAUAGUGAAUGUUAAAAUGACAAGAAAAUUCAUCUGAUGUUUCUAUAGUAUCAGAAAAAUACAACUUGUAAGGAGGAUAGAAAAAAAGUGAACUAGGAAGGCCAUUUCCAUGGCCUUUUCGCACACCUCUAUGCUGAGAACAAUAAAGCACAUGGAAUUGAAUCAUGAAUUGAUGAUGUUUCAUCAAGGAGAGGAAUAAAAGGAGCUGUGAGAUCAGUGACAAAAACAAGUGGUGUAGCUUUAAAGUGUUACGUACGUGUUCAGCUGCUUAACUUGGCCGGUUGAAUCCAAUAAAUAAAGACACUCUUUAUACAGAAUAGCUUUUAUUUUAGUAAUAAUGUGGAAGCAAGAGCAAAAGCAAAAGUGAUAGACAAGAGAGAAAGAGAAGAAAAUACAUCAACAGAUCAGGGGAAACACCAACACCUGAAGUCAUGUAGCUGGGGAGUCCUAGGGCAGCUUUUCAGGUUCCCAACUGGGAAGUCCCAGACAGAGUGUCCUCUCCAUGAGUGAGGCUCCAAAGUAUUAUUCCCAGUGGGGGCCUUUAAAUACAAGGUAGAACAAAGAAAACCUUUGUUUUACCUUGUAUUUAAAGGUAAUCUAGUAAUCUCCUCAAGGAUACCUCAUCCACACAAGGACUGGACAGAUCACUGAAGGAAAAGAGGGAUAGCCUUGAGAUAAGUAAAUGAUUCUUGAGUUCUCAAGAGUGAGCCAAACCCACCAAAAAUGCAGCAUUAUUUAGAUGUUCCAUCAAGGAUGUGUGAAGGUCACAGUAGGCACAUGGAUAGGGAAGAUCUUUAACAUUUUUCUUUGCCCUUUAAGGGUUUUAGGAGCUCCAAAUAGAAACCAUCAAACUGUUAAGACACAGAGUUUUACUUACAUCUAAAGACCAAGUUAUCUUUCUUUCACAUUGUCUAUGUUCAUUAAUCCUUCAGCUAUUAAACGUGUGUUAACAUAAGUUUGGGAAAGAAGAUCCCACUCGGACCUAAAGUAGCAAGUAUUGUGCUAACUCCCCACCUCAGCCAGGUGAAGCAGGGAUGGAAGAUCAGGUGGUAAACCAGAGAGAGAGAGAUAGGCAAUUGGUCCAAAAUACAACAACAAGUUUUGCUAAUUUAACUAGCUUGCUAGUUUAUGGCCUAUAGAAGUGGCCAUAAACACCAUGAUCAAUGAUUAAAUAGCAUUAUCUAAAGAUGGCUGACUCCAGAUAGCCAGGCUAGUGAGGAUGCAUUUGCCUGAGGAGCUCUUUUGAUUUUUCACCCAGUUAAUGAAGUCAGCUGGUACAGUGAGCCCAUUCCCCAGCAUUCUGACUAUGAAUUCUCCUAUUGCCACUAUCAGAAAAGUAUUUUCAACUCCAGAUGGCUUUUCUGUAGAAAAAAAUCCAGAAAAACAACACCAUGUUUAACUGAUAAUUUUGCUGUCAAAAUGUUGCAGAAAAUAUCUAAUUCAAUGCUUUUCACUUUUAUAUUUAAAAUGCUCAAAGUAAUGUUCUGCUCAUUUAUCUUCACAAAAGAUGUCUCUCUCUCCUUCACCUCCCCUCUCUUUUGGUACUGGGAAUUGCACCUAAUCACUGAGCCACAUCACAUCCCCAGCCCCUUUUAUAUUUUAUUUAGAGGCAGGGUUUCACUAAGUUGCUUAGGGCCUGGCUAAGUUGUUGAGCUGGAUUUGAACUUGUGAUUCUCCUGCCUCAGCCUCUGGAGCCACUGGGAUUAUAGGCACGUACCACUGCACCCAGCCUUUCUCUUUUUUCAUGUUAAUUCUAGCCCUUAGUCCUGAAAUAUAUGCCAAGAGAUUCAGUCUCAAAGGUCUAAAUGAUUAACAUUACUUUCAAUUGGCUACUGAUUUCCAAGUUAAACAGAAAAUGUACCUACACAACAUUGGCACUGCAACAAUUUUCCACCAGUAAGGACAUCUGGAAAAGGAAGUCAGAUAUGCAAACAUGCAAAUAUGAAAUAGAUUUCUUUACACUGAUUUGUACUUUCCUCCUUAACUGAAACUCAAUGCCUUUUGGAUUUAAUUUUCAUAAAACUCUCUAAAAAUAAUCUCUAAAUAUACACAUCAUUUAUUAGUUUCAUUAAAUAAACUCCAACAUGUUUCAGAUUGUGUUAUAGAGUAAUGUAGUAACAUCAAGGAACUCACAGUAGUGGAACAAGCAACAUUAAAUACACUUUUACUAUUGAAUGUGAUCACAAUUUGAUCAAAAUCUAGUUACCACACAGAAGGGUGCUACAAAGCCCAUGAUCAGUAGUUGAUAAUUGUUCGUGAAGAUAGUAACAAUUGGCUUGGGUCUUGAAACUUUUAGGAUUUCUUAAACAGAGAAAAUGGGGAAUGAUUUUAGAAUAAUGUAAGAUCAUAUGUUGUAGUACCAAAUCCAUACCUCUGGCUGAGCAACUUUUCUCAAUUUUUGAACCUGGUUUCCAGUAAGUCAUUAAAUGAAUGAGUGCUAAGCUGACUGGUUA
RNAcentral lists this long non-coding RNA (2784 nucleotides) under Marmota monax (woodchuck). The record is from RNAcentral. Lineage: Eukaryota; Metazoa; Chordata; Mammalia; Rodentia; Sciuridae.